RNAcentral lists this microRNA precursor (66 nucleotides) under Marmota monax (woodchuck). It matches the Rfam family "mir-1255 microRNA precursor family". Lineage: Eukaryota; Metazoa; Chordata; Mammalia; Rodentia; Sciuridae. The record is from RNAcentral.
UCUUAUGCAUGAGCAAAGAAAGUGGUUUCCUGAGACAGAAUUCACCCCUGGUGAAGAUGCUGUGAA